This 524-nucleotide long non-coding RNA is filed under the name Chinchilla lanigera (long-tailed chinchilla). RNAcentral describes it as "lncRNA (ENSCLAG00000024070.1)". The record is from RNAcentral. Lineage: Eukaryota; Metazoa; Chordata; Mammalia; Rodentia; Chinchillidae.
ACACAUAUUGCGGCGGCUCUAACUGCACAGCCCCGUGCUUGGGGACUUGGCACAUGAGAGCUAAUCCUUAACAGGUGGCCCUUGGGCAGCUCUGCCAGGCCCGGAGCGGCAAAGUGGCAGCGCCGUCAAUCAGAUGUCCUCUCAGAGAACUCCAUGGCAACGUGUUUAUACUUCUGGCUUCCUACAAGAACGAGAAAGAUGGGGGGAAGAAAAGGCGAAAGGAGAAAGGAAAGACCGCUGUAGGCCAAUCUCCACCGAGUAUGGUUGAACCGCAAUAAAAAAAAAAAAAAAAUCCAUACAUUUCAAUGUUUCUGUUGGCUUCUCUGGAGCUCAGAGCCUAACUUUUGAAAUAUUUAUUGGUCCGAAAGCAAGGGAAAAAGUUCUCCGAGAAGCCAGCUCGAUGGUCGUGUUUGGGUCUGACAGUUCCUUCCUCCCUCCGGGCACGGCCGGUGCCGCUCUCCCCGCUCAAACAGGGCAAGGGGGGUGCCGAGCUUCGUAUCUACAGGGGAAAACAGACACGGAAA